UACGUAGGGGGCAAGCGUUGUCCGGAUUUAUUGGGCGUAAAGAGCGUGUAGGCGGCCAGGUAGGUCUGCUGUGAAAACUCGAGGCUUAACCUCGAGCUGUCUGCGGAAACCAUCUGGCUAGAGUCCGGAAGAGGAGAAUGGAAUUCCUGGUGUAGCGGUGAAAUGCGCAGAUAUCAGGAAGAACACCAAUGGCGAAAGCAGCUCUCUGGGACGGUACUGACGCUGAGACGCGAAAGCGUGGGGAGCGAACAGG
RNAcentral lists this ribosomal RNA (253 nucleotides) under uncultured bacterium. Its description in RNAcentral is "partial 16S ribosomal RNA". It matches the Rfam family "Bacterial small subunit ribosomal RNA", at positions 524 to 776 of the family's 1533-position model. The record is from RNAcentral.